Molecule: ribosomal RNA, 253 nt
Filed under: uncultured bacterium
Lineage: Bacteria
Description: partial 16S ribosomal RNA
Rfam family: Bacterial small subunit ribosomal RNA
Source: RNAcentral
GACGUAGGGCGCGAGCGUUGUCCGGAUUUAUUGGGCGUAAAGAGCUCGUAGGCGGCUUGUCGCGUCGACCGUGAAAACUUGGGGCUCAACCCCAAGCCUGCGGUCGAUACGGGCAGGCUCGAGUUCGGUAGGGGAGACUGGAAUUCCUGGUGUAGCGGUGAAAUGCGUAGAUAUCGAGAGCAACACCUGCGGCGAAGGCGGGUUGCUGGGCUGAUACUGACGCUGAGGCGCGAAAGCCAGGGGAGCGAACGGG